GACGGAGGGUGCAAGCGUUGUUCGGAUUGACUGGGCGUAAAGGGCGCGUAGGCGGGCGAUCAAGUCAGGGGUGAAAUCCUCCAGCUUAACUGGAGAACUGCCUCUGAUACUGGUCAUCUUGAGUGAGGUAGGGGCGUGCGGAACUGAUGGUGGAGCGGUGAAAUGUGUUGAUAUCAUCAGGAACGCCGGUGGCGAAAGCGGCGCGCUGGACCUUAACUGACGCUGAGGCGCGAAAGCGUGGGGAGCAAACAGG
Molecule: ribosomal RNA, 253 nt
Filed under: uncultured bacterium
Lineage: Bacteria
Description: partial 16S ribosomal RNA
Rfam family: Bacterial small subunit ribosomal RNA
Source: RNAcentral